AGGACCUUUGUCACUCCUGGUCUGAAGCAAUGGGAACUUGUUGUGCACUUUUUCAGACUUUCUCUUCCUUUUCAGCAGUGUCUUGAAAGAGUCCACUUUUUGAGCUGACAGAGCCACAAGAUUGAAGCACUCUGAAUUCCUGCUGCUUGAGUGAAGAUUUCUUAUGCUUUGAUUUACUUCAUCUUCUCCUGCAACUCCAAUGUCACAUUUAGGAAAGGAGAAAUGCAUAUUAGAGGCAUAAAAAUAGAAAUGUCUCCUCGGGUAGAUACCACCUGCUCUAUGUGGAGUCUCUCCUUUUCUCUUCAAUUUUAGCAAAGUACGUUUGACAAGAGUUUUCUGUCUGCGGAAUGCUGUCAAUGAAAGAAGAGGAUCUGCUUUAUUCUAGGGAAAUGCUAUUAGUCAUGAUAGUCAGAGAUCAGCAACAGUGUAACAAGGUAACGCAGGAUAAUCAGAUCAUGCCUGUGGACUAGCAGAUGGGAUUAAAGAAUCAAUCAUUGGCUCUUUGAGAAUUUUAUGGCUCUCCGUAAAAUAAUUUAAAUGUGCAGAGGUAUAGAUUUUUUGUUUGAAAGUGCUUAUAUGUAUAGCAAACUGAACUCUACAUACAUACAUAUAAACAUAAUUAAUAACUUAAGACUAGUUUGAUGACACAGAAAACUAUUGUCAUGUUGUGACCUUGGUCAAAAUAUAUUGGCUUCAAUUUGCCUCGGCUGUGGGAACAUAGAUUAUUAAAGGGCUGUUUUCCUUGGAACUGUGGCUCUGGCAGAAGAUGACUGUUGACUACAAAGUUAGACAAACUAAAUAACUGAGAUUUGCAUUUUAAGAAGUAUUUCAAAGUUUUAUAAGAUGGCUAGCUCAAUAUAACUGGAACCUAUGUGUGGUAUAUUCACAAAAUGUUCAUGCCUCUUGAAUGGAUUUGCAGGCCAAUCAUCUCAAGUAACUUUACUUUUAACUGACUGUUUUUCUCGGGGGAAACAGAAUAUAAUUAAAAUGUGGUGCUCCCUGUGUUUGACAAAAUAGACAAGGCGACUUGUGAGUUUGUUAUUUUAAUUAGUGAAUAUAUUUUUAUAUAUUUCUGCAGUGUUACUGUACAUGUGUGUCAUGUAGGUAAAUGAAUAGGCACUUGGAACACUGUGAAUGUACUUAACAAGUGGAUACAUAUUCUCUAAAUUGAGACACGUUUGUAAAAAUAAUCGCUAUGGUCUGAAUGUUUGUGUUCCCCCAAAUCCAUAUGUUAAAAUCCUAAACCCUAAGAGGGUGGUGUUAAGAGGUGGAAACUUUUGGAGACGCUUAGGCCUUGCGGGUGGAAUCCUCGUGAAUGGAUCAGUGUUCAUCUAAACGAGACCCCGCAGAACUCCCUAAUCCCUUCGACCACUGAGGACGCAGUGAGUAGGUGCCAGCUGUGAGCCAGGAGGAAGAUCUUCACCAGAACAUGACCAUGCUGAUGGCUUGACCUCAGACUUCUCGCCCCCAGAACCGUGAGAAAGAAACUUCUGUUGUUUAUGAGCUACCCAGUCUAUGCUAUUUCUUUACAGCAGUCCGAAUGGACUAGGAAAAUAACAUUUUACAGAACUCCGUGAACAUCUUUCUUCCCAAAACAAGGUCUGGACACAGAACUCAUGAAAAUUAAUCUUCUGCCUUUUAAUAAUGUUCUCGAGAUUCCAUCUUCCUCUUGGAACAGUCUUGGGUUGAUGAAAUACGAAAAGGAUUUCAAGUUAGCCUUACGUUCCUCUCCACUAAAAAAGGGCUCACUUCCAAGAUGGAAGCACUGUUGUAGAAUGAAUUAUUGGUCUCAAUUCUUUACUCCUCCCUGCAUCCAUGUCCUUUGCUAUGUAAACUUGCAGUUGACUCCACAACAGUAGAUUAUAUUUCUCUAUACUUUGAAUUAGGAUACUUCCACAUAACCUGCUUUGGUCAAUGGCAAACUAGUGUAUGGGACACAAGCAGGGAUUUUUAAAUGUAUCACCAUGAGGGGGUACUUCCUUUUGUGCCUCUUCAAUCACUUGGAAAAAAACCAUGCCUUUCCUGGGCGGCUGGUCUAAGGAGGGAGAGAGGCGUGCAGACAGAUGCAAACUCUCAGAUCUGCAGUGUUCAGUGUGCAGCUGUGACAGCUGGCACAGAGCCAGCCAGUCUACCCAGGAGAAUAAGUGUUGCAUUGUUUUAAACCAUGGACUGGUAGGGUCGUUUUGUCAUGCAGCAUUAUUGCAGUGAUCAAUGCUUGAUAAAUUCAGGGAUGCCACAGUUUUUAAGAAUUUAACACCGGGCCACUUAUCUGGGAUAAGUUGGAAAUUCCUAAGAUGUCAGAGAAUUUACUGUCAUUUCUUAGUACUGUAUUUUCAUGUAUGAACCUACAGGGCACUAUUUUAAAAGGUCAUGUUCUUUUUAUUAUUUUUGCUUAUAAGUGCCAACAUCUACUUCCUGUUAUUUUGACAUGGAUUCUUUUCUGCCUUGAUACUUGAGACCUGCAAAUCUCCAACUUUUAAAGUGCCUAAUAGGACUUUAAAAAACUCCCAUAAACUUUUGAAAUAUCUGGAUUUCAUUACCCGUCCUUUGACUUAAGAUAUCCAUCUCAUUCCUUUAGUCUUAUAUUACUAGAUACUAGCUAAACUUGAAUCUACCCAUUGCCCUGCUAUGACAUAAAGGCAACAUAUAGGUCUAGUACUAGUACUAUAAUUUCUUACAUUCCUUAAAAUUGAAACCCUUCAAAUUAUCAGGUGGAUACCUGGCCAUAUCACCUGGUGAUUUUUGAAUAUCUAUAUUUCUUUUCAUUUUUAUCCAGAUCUCAUCAUACAUACUGCAGUAGAUAAUCUGUUGCUUAUAAGGCAUUUCUGGUCUAGGUCUUAGUAUACAAUCUAAGAUGUUAUAUAGUUCAAAUGUUUAUAAGUCAUAAAGGUGGCUCUAGGAUGAUUAAAAAAUAAAACUGCUAAAAUAACCUUAUAAUUUUAACAUUAGAAGAAGUGUAGAUAAAGUGGGUCCAAGAAGAGAAAAAAGGGACUACAGUGAUCAAAGUCAGAAGAGCAAUGCUUGUCAUCUGCCUUCCAGAUUUACGAUGGCACACCUUAUGACUAACUCGUGGGUUUACGUGGGAUUUUGUUGUGAGAAUCGCUGUAAGAUGUAUAACGUGAGCAAAUGAAAAAGCAGAAGGCCAUCCAAACACAUUUGAGCUAUAGUCCUUUCGUGAAAGGUGGCUUGUUUACAAAUUUUUGAUUCUUGUCAGGGAAAUCCUGGCAGCAAGAAUCCAAAAACACUAUAAAUUUAUUUCACUUUACACAAGGCUUUUCUUUAACAAAACAUGAUAUAUAACUAUACAACUUUAUUUUGCGGUAUAACUUUAAAUAAUUUCAAUCAAAUAUAGGUAUAUUUCAAUAAUUCCAGUAUAUAAACUUUGUGUGUUUGCACAUUUUUAAUCAUCAGAGGCAGUUUCUAAAAUCAUUAUAUAGUGUAUUUAAAAACCGUACAUUGAACAUGUGCAGUUACUUUGAGAAUUCAGAGAAAUAUGGGUCACCUUAAGGCCAUGCGUGUUACAGAGCCAGUCAUUACUUUAAGCUCUAACUAAACACCAUUAUGAGUUUGUUUGGGAUCUUUUGUUUCUCUAA
Kogia breviceps (pygmy sperm whale) is the source of this 3593-nucleotide non-coding RNA. NCBI's taxonomy places the organism in Eukaryota, Metazoa, Chordata, Mammalia, Artiodactyla, Physeteridae. The record is from RefSeq and is a predicted model, not a curated record.